ACCGCAGAGAGCAGAGAAAGGGAGAGGAAGCCUCAGGGAGCAGCCUGACUCUGCCUCCUCCUGGGGCCACCGCCCACCUGGCUGUCCUGCCUGGAGGGCUUUAAUCCAGGCACGAGCUGAAAAGGGAAGCCAGGUGAGAACUGAAACAGGAGGGCUCUAACCGCAUACACAAGACUGUGAUUAGGGAGGGGAGAGAGAGUGAGAACCCGCCCUGGAGGGUGAAACCAAUCUGCAGAAAGCAAGCAGGCCAGCAUGGAAGGAGGAGAUUUUAUCACCAGAGAGGUCACUCAUCAGCCUUAGGCAGAAGUCAUGGGGCCCCCUCCCCCCGAAGUUUGGCUGUUACCGUCCUCCAGGACCCGCUGCCUCGGGGCCGGUACUGAAGCCGGCUGAGCAGCACCCAGGCCUCGUUGCUCCACUGCAGGCGGCAGCGGCUGUUGGAGCCGUUCAGGAACUGGACGUGGACGUCCCACGGAGGCAGCGGCCUUGCUGCAGCUCUUAGCCCAGACAGGUGGGCUCAGCAAGAUGCCUCUGCCCUGGUUAUGUGACACAGUGGCCACACACCUGUGAGCCCUGGAGGAGCCUCAGGGUAAAGGGUACCUGGAACACACGGGGCCUCAUCCAGCUUACCGAGUGCCCUGAGGGGCCCUGCCCAGGCUGGGGCCUCUCUGGCAGCUGGUGCAUUUGUGGGGUUUAGAGCCCAGUGCUCCAGUUCUCCAGUGAGACCCCACCCCGGUAACCUCUGCACCUCCUAAAGCAGCUGUGCACAGGAGCUUUGAUCGACUUAGAGAACACAAGAGAUAUCGGCAAGGCUGAACCAAAACACACCUAUGU
Long non-coding RNA from Cavia porcellus (domestic guinea pig), 831 nucleotides. RefSeq lists it as uncharacterized. NCBI's taxonomy places the organism in Eukaryota, Metazoa, Chordata, Mammalia, Rodentia, Caviidae. The transcript is spliced from 3 exons. The record is from RefSeq and is a predicted model, not a curated record.